RNAcentral lists this ribosomal RNA (1348 nucleotides) under metagenome. RNAcentral describes it as "bacterial LSU rRNA". It matches the Rfam family "Bacterial large subunit ribosomal RNA", at positions 1564 to 2925 of the family's 2925-position model. The record is from RNAcentral.
UGAGUACGAGCUGCUACGGCAGCGAAGUGGGUGAUGUCAAGCUUCCAAGAAAAGCCCUAUACCCGUUAAGGCAUGACGGCCUGUACCCGAAACCGACACAGGUGGGGUGGUAGAGAAUACCGAGGGGCGCGAGAUAACUCUCUCUAAGGAACUCGGCAAAAUGGCCCCGUAACUUCGGGAGAAGGGGUGCCACCGCAAGGUGGUCGCAGUGAAGAGGCCCAGGCGACUGUUUACCAAAAACACAGGUCUCCGCUAAGUCGCAAGACGAUGUAUGGGGGCUGACGCCUGCCCAGUGCCGGAAGGUUAAGGAAGCUGGUCAGCGCAAGCGAAGCUAGCGACUGAAGCCCCGGUGAACGGCGGCCGUAACUAUAACGGUCCUAAGGUAGCGAAAUUCCUUGUCGGGUAAGUUCCGACCCGCACGAAAGGCGUAACGAUCUGGGCGCUGUCUCGGAGAGAGGCUCGGCGAAAUAGAAUUGUCUGUGAAGAUGCGGACUACGUGCACCCGGACAGAAAGACCCUAUGAAGCUUUACUGUAGCUUGGUAUUGUGCCCGGGCUCUGAAUGCGCAGGAUAGGUGGGAGGCUUUGAUCCAUUGCUUGUGGGUAAUGGUGAGCCAACGGUGAGAUACCACUCUUUCAGAGCUAGGGUUCUAACCCUCACCCGUUAUCCGGGGAGGGGACAGUAUCAGGUGGGCAGUUUGACUGGGGCGGUCGCCUCCUAAAAGGUAACGGAGGCGCGCAAAGGUUUGCUCAGGCUGGUUGGAAAUCAGCCGACGAGUGUAAAAGCAGAAGCAAGCUUGACUGUGAGACCAACAAGUCGAACAGGGACGAAAGUCGGCUUUAGUGAUCCGACGGUUCUGAGUGGAAGGGCCGUCGCUCAACGGAUAAAAGUUACUCUAGGAUAACAGGCUGAUCUCCCCCAAGAGUUCACAUCGACGGGGAGGUUUGGCACCUCGAUGUCGGCUCAUCGCAACCUGGGGCUGAAGUCGGUCCCAAGGGUUGGGCUGUUCGCCCAUUAAAGCGGUACGCGAGCUGGGUUCAGAACGUCGUGAGACAGUUCGGUCCAUAUCCGGUGCAUGCGUAAGAACAUUGACAGGAGUUCCCCCUAGUACGAGAGGACCGGGAGGAACGCACCUCUGGUGUACCAGUUAUCGUGCCAACGGUAAACGCUGGGUAGCCAUGUGCGGAGAGGAUAACCGCUGAAAGCAUCUAAGUGGGAAGCCCACCUGAAGAUGAGUGUUCUCAUGGCUUAAGCCAGUAAGGUCACGGGAAGAACACCCGUUGAUAGGCUCUACGUGGAAGCGCAGCAAUGCGUGAAGCGGAGGAGUACUAAUAGACCGAGGGCUUGAC